RNAcentral lists this ribosomal RNA (446 nucleotides) under Acidobacteria bacterium UCL-077. RNAcentral describes it as "bacterial SSU rRNA". It matches the Rfam family "Bacterial small subunit ribosomal RNA", at positions 32 to 486 of the family's 1533-position model. Lineage: Bacteria; Pseudomonadati; Acidobacteriota. The record is from RNAcentral.
AACGCUGGCGGCGUGCCUCAGACAUGCAAGUCGAACGAUUAAGUCUUCCUUCGGUAAGUGUAUAAAGUGGCGCACGGGUGAGUAACACGUAAGUAAUCUACCUUCGAGUGGGGAAUAACGUUCGGAAACGAACGCUAAUACCGCAUAAUGCAGCGGCAUCGCAAGAUGACAGUUGUUAAAGAAAUUUAUUUCGCUUGAAGAGGAGCUUGCGGCAGAUUAGCUAGUUGGUAAGGUAACGGCUUACCAAGGCUACGAUCUGUAUCCGGUCUAAGAGGACGGUCGGACACACUGACACUGAAUAACGGGUCAGACUCCUACGGGAGGCAGCAGUCGGGAAUUUUGGGCAAUGGGCGAAAGCCUGACCCAGCAACGCCGCGUGAAGGAUGAAGUAUUUCGGAAUGUAAACUUCGUAAGAAUAGGAAGAAUAAAUGACGGUACCAUUUAUA